UAUACGUACAAUCGAUCGUAGUCGUACCCACUACAGGUAGGUAAACCAUAUAGUAAUCUGACUCGUAUCAAUAGAUUUUUGCUUAAAACAGAGAAAUGCGUUCCAUACAAAUUCUUUUCAAGAUCUUCUACAUCUUGGUCAUCAUUUUGAUGAUGGCCGUUCAUGGUCACCAAUGUCCCACGUUGCAACAACUCUUCAAUAAGGAAACGGGUGUAAGAUGGAGUGAUCCGUUAGUGACAAAAUCAAAUUAAUCGGUAAAAUUGGUAUAAUGUUGCUUUUUCCUUGGUUCAUGAGAUAUAAUUAUAAGUGAAGAUCCAUUAAAUAUAAAACAAAAUUUUGAAUGUACAUACAAUUAAUUUUUUUCAACGUUAAAUCUGUUAAA
Long non-coding RNA from Planococcus citri (citrus mealybug), 382 nucleotides. RefSeq lists it as uncharacterized. The transcript is spliced from 3 exons. The record is from RefSeq and is a predicted model, not a curated record. NCBI's taxonomy places the organism in Eukaryota, Metazoa, Arthropoda, Insecta, Hemiptera, Pseudococcidae.